UGGAUAACUUUGGAUAACUGGAACAAGAUAAGACUGGCAAUACAAGAGGAAUGUCUUUUAGUUUCAGAAGAAUGAUGUUCUUCAUUCCUUUGGAGGACAUGCAUGCAAACUUCAUCAUGUGGCAUCAGUCUGGAAAAAAGAGAUCCUGAAAUCAAAGGAGAGAAGAAGUCACAUUUAAGUAGAAGAACACGCAGAGGAAGCACCAAUAGAAAGUUAAGAUGAAGCAGAGACUGGGAACUAAAUGAAGGACCUGCUGUGCAGACUGCUAAAGAUUAUUUAAAGAAGACAUUAUAGCAGUCUCUGUGAGAGAGCAGUACUUAACAUUUGCAGGUGCAUUGGCAGUCACAUCUUAACGACGAUUGUCUGCUGCGAGCAGCACUGUCGUUACCAGCAACUCACUGCUCUUAGUGUAUCGUUCAACCUCUUAAGUUCUGUCAAAGUGAUUUUGUGCUGUGCUUAAUAAUACGUAUGUGACACUUUUGGGUAGUUAUUGGCUUCCUCUCUCUAUCAGAGUCUGCGGGCACUCUCAUUAGUUCUUUUGCAAACAUUAUUGUGUACUUACUUGUGUACUCUGAUGAUGUGAAUAACUCUAAUUUUCAUUUGAGGAAAUUCUGGUUGUCAGACGGCUCUCUUCUCCAUCUAUUGCAAGAGCCCUUCCUUAUUAAGUAGCACGGUGCUCAAAUAACACCAUUAUGCAUCUUUUGAACUGUUCUUAUAGUGUUUUUAUUUGUAUUUAUUUUAAAUGUAUAUUUUGAAGAUGUUUAAACAUAAGCUAAAAGAAUACAGGUUACAUGUAAAAUUCAAGUGUAUAUAUAAAUAUAUAUACAUUAACUUACUAUUGAACUAACUGCUAUUUCCAUGGACAUUGUUAGAGAUGAUCACCACUCUGAGGCAUUUCUUUAAAAAAUCCUAUUCUAUGUUAUAUUUAUCUUUUUGACAUUUUUUUCUUGUUUAAGCAAUAUCGUUUGUUAUGUAACAUUCAUAUUAAAGAAAGUCAAAUUCAGUGUUAUUUUUCAACACUAAUAAAUUAUCUUCUAUGUUUUCAUUCUCCU
This is a long non-coding RNA of Nothoprocta perdicaria, 1052 nucleotides long. RefSeq lists it as uncharacterized. The transcript has 3 exons. The record is from RefSeq and is a predicted model, not a curated record. Lineage: Eukaryota; Metazoa; Chordata; Aves; Tinamiformes; Tinamidae.